GGUCCUAUGGUGCAGUGGUUAGCAUGGUGCUCUUGUAAGUUGCCACUUUACUCCGACAGAUGAUUGCACAAUGAGAAUUUUCCUAACAAAUCAAACAGAUAGAUCCAGGGAUUCGUCCUUGUUUACUAUGAUAGUAAUGCACAGGUCGUGGGUUCGAACCCCACUAGGACCA
RNAcentral lists this transfer RNA (172 nucleotides) under Grosmannia clavigera kw1407. It matches the Rfam family "tRNA". Rfam says of the family: Transfer RNA (tRNA) molecules are approximately 80 nucleotides in length. Their secondary structure includes four short double-helical elements and three loops (D, anti-codon, and T loops). Further hydrogen bonds mediate the characteristic L-shaped molecular structure. tRNAs have two regions of fundamental functional importance: the anti-codon, which is responsible for specific mRNA codon recognition, and the 3' end, to which the tRNAs corresponding amino acid is attached (by aminoacyl-tRNA synthetases). tRNAs cope with the degeneracy of the genetic code in two manners: having more than one tRNA (with a specific anti-codon) for a particular amino acid; and 'wobble' base-pairing, i.e. permitting non-standard base-pairing at the 3rd anti-codon position. The record is from Rfam by way of RNAcentral. Lineage: Eukaryota; Fungi; Ascomycota; Sordariomycetes; Ophiostomatales; Ophiostomataceae.